GCAGAACGCGAAGAACCUUACCAGGGCUUAAAUGUAGAUUGCAUUAGGUGGAGACACCUAUUUCUUCGGACCGUCUACAAGGUGCUGCAUGGUUGUCGUCAGCUCGUGCCGUGAGGUGUCAGGUUAAGUCCUAUAACGAGCGCAACCCCUGUUGUUAGUUGCCAGCGAGUCAUGUCGGGAACUCUAGCAAGACUGCCAGUGCAAACUGUGAGGAAGGUGGGGAUGACGUCAAAUCAUCACGGCCCUUACGUCCUGGGCUACACACGUGCUACAAUGGUAGGGACAGAGAGCAGCCACUGGGCGACCAGGAGCGAAUCUAUAAAACCCUGUCUCAGUUCGGAUCGGGGUCUGCAACUCGACCCCGUGAAGCUGGAAUCGCUAGUAAUCGGAUAUUAGCCAUGAUCCGGUGAAUACGUUCCCGGGUCUUGUACACACCG
Molecule: ribosomal RNA, 437 nt
Filed under: uncultured bacterium
Lineage: Bacteria
Description: bacterial SSU rRNA
Rfam family: Bacterial small subunit ribosomal RNA
Source: RNAcentral